Solea senegalensis (Senegalese sole) is the source of this 335-nucleotide long non-coding RNA. RefSeq lists it as uncharacterized. The transcript is spliced from 2 exons. The record is from RefSeq and is a predicted model, not a curated record. Lineage: Eukaryota; Metazoa; Chordata; Actinopteri; Pleuronectiformes; Soleidae.
GUUGUUGCCUGUGUCACUUCCGGUGUAGAGGUCACAUCCCCGACAGUUGCUGUAGGCCGGUGGUGGCGGUGCUGGUGGUGGCUUCCUCCUGUCUUGUCUUGCUGUGUCCCUGGGAGCAGGUUUUUCUUCACUGAGAGUGUCUGCCACGUGUGCCUGGUGAUUUUUGUGGUGUUUUUCUAUGGUGGAUCCCUUUCUUGCCCUAGCCUUUAUCCAUUCACUUUGGCCUCAGCUCUGAUUAAGUUUUUUGCCCCCCCCCCUUUUUUUUGGUUGGUAUGAAUGAGUUUUAUUGAAGUUUUAGCAUUAACGUUUAAUAAAAUUUUUAUGUUAACUUGGAA